AACUGUGGGAUCGUGGAGAGCAUCUUGAACUGGGUGAAGUUCAAAGCUCAGACGCAGCUCAAUAAGAAGUGCUCCUCUGUGAAGUACAGCAAGAUCAAAGGAAUCCCAAAACUGGACGACGCCAACGACGCUGGAGGGAAACACUCGGCUGAAUGCACCCUCAUCCUGACGGAGGGCGACUCCGCCAAGUCUCUGGCCGUCUCCGGACUGGGAGUCAUAGGACGAGAUCGAUACGGAGUGUUCCCGCUGAGAGGAAAGAUCCUGAACGUGAGGGAGGCCACGCACAAACAGAUUACGGAAAAUGC
Notothenia coriiceps (black rockcod) is the source of this 305-nucleotide long non-coding RNA. RefSeq lists it as uncharacterized. The transcript is spliced from 4 exons. NCBI's taxonomy places the organism in Eukaryota, Metazoa, Chordata, Actinopteri, Perciformes, Nototheniidae. The record is from RefSeq and is a predicted model, not a curated record.